Anas platyrhynchos (mallard) is the source of this 4052-nucleotide long non-coding RNA. RefSeq lists it as uncharacterized. The record is from RefSeq and is a predicted model, not a curated record. Lineage: Eukaryota; Metazoa; Chordata; Aves; Anseriformes; Anatidae.
UUUAAAAGUGAUUCCAUUUUUGUUUUACUUUUGUUCACUACAGGUUACCAGGACUGAAAAGUGAAAGCCUUGGAAGAAAAGGAGGAGUCUGGAAAAACACUGGAAAGAAAGAGAAAGAAGAAAAGAAAUCAAGAGAGGGGUAUGCUAAGAAGCUGAGAUUGGUCUGCUUUUCAUGUUUGAGUGAAUUGGGUGAAUACAGAAAUCAAAACAUUUGACUCAGAACAUGCUUCUCAUCAAGGAUUAAAAAAAGAAAAAGAAACAAAAUCAUAACAACAGUUCCUUAAUGCACCUGGGGAAGUACAGUAUUUUCUUGAAGACCUUUAAACAGAAGCAUGAAAGCCUAGAGAGUCUCAGACCUAAAGAUGGGAACUGGAGACAGACUUGAUGAGUUACUGACAUCCACCUCAGCUCUACAUUCAACUGGUGAGAUCAAGAAUUUUCUGCUCUCUGCCUUUAGCACAGAAAAAAAGAACUUUAGGUUUGAUGUGAGGUUUUUGAAUUGCUUGGACCAGGCUUGGCUUUCACUCCAAGGUCUAACUCAGGUUGCUUAAAGUGGCACAGGCAUUUUUUUUCCCUUAACAAAAGAAACAGAACAUUAUUUUUAGAUGCCUGAAGGGCUGUCUGUCUGACUCACAAACCAACCCAUGUAAUCAGCUUCAGAACUUAAUAACAUUGUUCAAGUGAACAGGGAUGCAGGCUGCAAGAUUAAAGAAAGUCAAAUGCACAUAACAGCUCACUUCAACUUUGCAAUCAGACAGGUAAUUAUUAUUUCUCAGGAUGCCAUAGUCCAGCAAUUAUAAAAUUUAAAUAUUAAUUUUAGAAGUCUUAAUUAUAGCAACCAGAAUAGUUCUGUUCAAAAUAGUCCCCAAAAUAACUUUGCAAGAAGCUAAUAGCAAUUUACCUGAUUGAGGAACAGGUAGAGAUUUAAUUAGAAAUGGAAAAUGCAGUUCGCUUCUAUUUGCAUAGUAAACAGAAGAAGAAUUUGAUAUUUUGGGGGAAGUUUUUACUUGUUUUUUAUUAUUGAAAUAAUAGGUUAUCAACAAAUUCACAAAAAAUGUGUUCAAUUGAUGAACAUAAACAUAUGAUUUGCCUUGAUUUAUGCUUGAUCUGUGUCUAUUUUAUUUAUCUGUAAAUAUCAGAUAUGUAAUUAAGAUAUGUAAACAAAGAUUUUUACCACAUCUAUUUUCUGAUAUGUGGAAAUAACAUAGCAUGCUGAUUUACUUCUCAAUGUAAAUCUGUCUUGAAACAUACUUCCCUGGGGAGUAAAUAGAUUUUUUUAUUUUUUUUUGUCUGGAAGAGUGGUUGUGCAAGGAGAGGCAAUGCUUUGUUUCUGUAGUUAACACAUCUAGUGAGAUUUAAUGUCUUCACACUGCAGCUAAUGUACUCUCUGUACUUCUGUACUGAUUGUCUAUACCGAGAAACCCAAUUGAAACAUUUUGGUGGUAAACUCAGUGGUGUUACCAGCAGUACUGAUCCAGUAGGCUAUGCCAUCAUAAAUACAUAACAGUUAAGGUUCAUGGAUUAAUACUGUAGAAUUUAGAGACUGCAGCUGUGAUUAUGCCAGGCUCCAUAGAGCCUGCUGUAGAGACCUCAUGCUGUAAAAAUACAAGUAAAUAAGAAAGUGUAUUCCCUAUUUUACAGAAUGGGAGAAUCAAGUCAUAUAAAAUUUAAAUAAUUUGUUUUAUACCCCACAGAAUGUUACUUGAUCCUUUUCUUAAUUACACUGUUUCAGUUAAGUCAUAUCUUUUCCCCCUUUCAUGUGCUUUAUUGAACUAAGUCAUAUUCCCUCCUUUCUUUAUGGAGCACAGAAUAUAAACUCUUCCAUUUUCUAUUUCUUUCAUUUUUUUUUUCUUUCCAGUUGUCAGGAUUUAUUUUUGAGGAUGUCAUUCUCAACCUAUUGUGACCCUCUCUCUGAGUUCCCAAAAUUGCCAUAUGUCUUAGAUGAUGUAAGAAUUAUUAAAAUAUUUCACAUUACUCUUUAUUUAUCUAUGAUAGAUACAGAAGAAAAAAUGGUUUAUGAUAAAAAAAAAAAAAAGUUUACCAUGCAGUGGAGGGGAUAUUCAGAAUCUUAUGCUGUUAGAGCUGGUGUCAACAAUUCAAGAAGAUGUAUAUUUAUUUUCUCUUUAUUGCAUAACGAGAAACUUUGCUUAAAGGGAAAUAGUUUUAUUGUUCUGAGAGAAUUUCUGUAAUUUAAAGAUUCAAUACCGUGGGCCUGAGGGUAGAAAGAAGAUCAAGCAGAUGAAAUACUUUCUAGUUUGGUAAUUUUAUCAUUUUACUGAGAUUGGAAUUCAAGUAUUUGUUCAAGGAAGUAAUUACUGAAUACAAGGUAGAAUAAGACUUGAAGAGGGUGGGAGAGAACAGCAAGUAAGGACCACUGGAACAUGGAAAACUAAGGUUCAUUCCACAAAAUUAAAUCAGCUUCUGUGUGUGCUAACAAUAGACAGCUGGGCCCUCUGCAUUGCUUUUGCUCAUCAUGACCAGAAAUUUUGUUUGGGGCAUGAGAUAUUUUGUGGAUUUUAGUGACUAAAUCUCUUCACAAAUGAACAAUUUCUGAUGAAAGCUUUUAACUGGGGAACUUCUGACUAGCUGUGGAUGCUAGAGGGAGUUACUUCAGGACUAUGCAAAACCAAUCUAUGUCCCAGCAACCCUGAAAGCAUCACCCUCCUCCACUGAAAAAAACAUUGGUUUCUUUUUCUACUGCAGCUGAAUUAACCAGAAAAGAUGCAGUGAAAGCAGUGGCAGUAAAUUGCAUAAACUGUGUGUUGCCCCAAGCUCUAUCUGAAUUAAUCUUUUCUCUGAGAUAUGUGUCCUGAAUUUAGAUAACCAUACUAGCCUUUUAUAUAAAUACUGUAGAAAAUGUAGAAUACAAAUACUUUGUGGAGUACAAUGUAAAAAUAAAUGAACCGAUGACUCAUCUUUAACACAAAGCAUGGCUUCUAAAAAUAGAAAGAACCUUUCAUGAUUUUGGAAAUGGCUUCUCAUGGUCCCCGAUAAAUUAUUUUUUCUUUCUCCAAGUGGAAACCAAGUGAAUGGUGUUGAGAACCAUCAGAAAGAGGUAGUCUUUACAAUAUAUGCCAUUGGUCAGGAAAUCAGUUCAGGAUUCAGAAAGCUGCAUAUGUUACCGAGAUGAGUUUACAUGUUCUCACAGUGGUAUCCUAUUUUAUACAGGUGUUGAAACAUGUCAGCUAUGGAAAUAGAUUAAAUAUACCAUCAAAAUAAAAAAGGAAUAGUAACCAAAACCCAAAUGGCUUUCUCUGACAAUGCCUGAAUGUACCAUCUGUUUCCACUGCAUUAUAAAUUGAUGUAGAAAAUUGAUAUGCAGUGCUAUUUCUGGGUAGCUUCUCAUUUGCAUUUGCUUUUGUUAAAAAUGGACCUAACUGAAAACCAUCACACUCAAAUCUGCCAGACUUUGGAAGGAAGUGUUCAAACCAGCCUGGUGUCUUCCAACCCAAAGCUGGAUCUACAUCUGAAAUGGUGCAGCUGCCCACAUAUGUAUAGAGUGCUAAAACACAACUUUGGAUCUAGACACCACACAGCUUGUCAGAUGUUCAGGGUCCUGAUCCAAAUUGUCCACUUUAUUUAGGACGGUAACAAUUGAAUAAUUAUAAUGACAUAAGGCUUACCACCUAGCUACAUUAAAUAACCAUCUAAUCAUUUAACUGAGGCAGCCAAUAAAUAAUAGCAGUAUGGUUACUUUUACCCAAUACCAAAAAUACAAACUCUGUCUUCUUUGCCUUCAUAUGUACUAAUAAAUGUUAAUAUGAAAUCACUGUAUAACAGUUUGCCAUGGUCAUGAUUGUGAUUAAUCUCAAUGUAAAUCAACAUCCCAAAAUAUCAUUUCAUCAGGUGGCUGGAUGUAGCUGCUUCCAAACCCUGUGUAAUAGUCCAAUCAUUUCCAGGCAGAAAUGGAGCAGCCAAAAUGCUCAGACCUAAGCUGGUGACAUAUUGUCUCUGCUGGAGACUGUGCUGGGCAAGAGCAGAUGUAAAUGAAACUCCUUCCUGACAUCUGCUUCUUUCUCUACGUGACCUGUGUUGGAGAGGCUUAAGAGAUG